Molecule: ribosomal RNA, 33 nt
Filed under: uncultured Comamonadaceae bacterium
Lineage: Bacteria; Pseudomonadati; Pseudomonadota; Betaproteobacteria; Burkholderiales; Comamonadaceae
Description: partial 23S ribosomal RNA
Source: RNAcentral
CAAAGUUAUAGGGUCAAGUGACUAAGUGCAUGU